GAAUCUUAGACAAUGGGCGCAAGCCUGAUCUAGCCAUGCCGCGUGGACGAUGAAGGCCUUAGGGUUGUAAAGUCCUUUCGCUGGGGAAGAUAAUGACGGUACCCAGUAAAGAAGCCCCGGCUAACUCCGUGCCAGCAGCCGCGGUAAUACGGAGGGGGCUAGCGUUGUUCGGAAUUACUGGGCGUAAAGCGCGCGUAGGCGGAUCGGAAAGUUGGGGGUGAAAUCCCGGGGCUCAACCUCGGAACUGCCUUCAAAACUCCCGGUCUUGAGUUCGAGAGAGGUGAGUGGAAUUCCGAGUGUAGAGGUGAAAUUCGUAGAUAUUCGGAGGAACACCAGUGGCGAAGGCGGCUCACUGGCUCGAUACUGACGCUGAGGUGCGAAAGCGUGGGGAGCAAACAG
Molecule: ribosomal RNA, 399 nt
Filed under: uncultured bacterium
Lineage: Bacteria
Description: bacterial SSU rRNA
Rfam family: Bacterial small subunit ribosomal RNA
Source: RNAcentral